GACGAACGCUGGCGGCGUGCCUAAUACAUGCAAGUAGAACGCUGAAGGAGGAGCUUGCUUCUCUGGAUGAGUUGCGAACGGGUGAGUAACGCGUAGGUAACCUGCCUGGUAGCGGGGGAUAACUAUUGGAAACGAUAGCUAAUACCGCAUAAGAGUAGAUGUUGCAUGACAUUUACUUAAAAGGUGCAAUUGCAUCACUACCAGAUGGACCUGCGUUGUAUUAGCUAGUUGGUGAGGUAACGGCUCACCAAGGCAACGAUACAUAGCCGACCUGAGAGGGUGAUCGGCCACACUGGGACUGAGACACGGCCCAGACUCCUACGGGAGGCAGCAGUAGGGAAUCUUCGGCAAUGGACGGAAGUCUGACCGAGCAACGCCGCGUGAGUGAAGAAGGUUUUCGGAUCGUAAAGCUCUGUUGUAAGGGAAGAACGAGUGUGAGAGUGGAAAGUUCACACUGUGACGGUAUCUUACCAGAAAGGGACGGCUAACUACGUG
This 495-nucleotide ribosomal RNA is filed under the name uncultured bacterium. RNAcentral's name for it is "partial 16S ribosomal RNA". It matches the Rfam family "Bacterial small subunit ribosomal RNA", at positions 28 to 507 of the family's 1533-position model. The record is from RNAcentral.